GACCAUCUCACUUCGUCUCUCACCCCAAAUCAGAGAAACCCUAGCCGCCCUAGGAUUCCCUUGCUGCCUCCGCUGUGGUCCGCCGACCAGAAAUCGCCUCACGGCCAGAUCAUCUCAAAACUCUACCAAAUUAACACCCUAUAACCUCCUUUCCUCUCCUUUCCAAAUCCCUAAACCAUUUCCCUCAAAUCUUUCCCAAACCGCUCAAAUCUUGGAUCUAAAAUCCUAACCCUAAUUUUUCCCUUUUUCGAUUUCCGGUCAACUUCUGGGUUUUGAACCCCAAGACUUCCAUUAUCGACUGUUUUUAUUGAGAACAGUCGGUUAAUGGUCGUCCACGUUUAUUUUACCCCAUUAAAGUUGUCCGAGUUCAUGACUGAUUCCAAGUUCGAAGCAGGUUUUUGGUAAUCCCUUUUGCGUUCUUUUUUCUUCCUUCUUUUGUUCAUCUCCUUCAUCUUCUUUCUUUCUUUUAGCCGCAUGUUUUAGGUAAUCACAACUCUAGGUUUUCUCCUUUUUUUUCAUGACUGUUUAGUUUAUUUGGAUGCAUCUAUCUAUUAAGUUAACUGAAGCAUGCUAAGUUUCAUCAUUUGAAGUUUGAUUUUAAUUUGCUUAAGUUCAGGUUUAAUUAGGUUUAAUGUUUUAGGUUUUGAUAAAUUGUUUGUUCUAUUUUCUUUUUGUGUUUGUUUCUCUUUUAUAUUUGUUUUAAUGUUUAGUUAAGUUGAUUAGAAUAGUGUCAAGAGUUAAUUAACAGCUUGUUUGGCCGAUUUCUAAUUAAUUAUUAAGAAAAUCUUAGACUUAUGUAAUAUGUUUAAUUGCAAACUAAUUAGGUUAAUUUUCUAGGAUUUCUUUGCAUCUUCAUUUUAGUUUUGUUAUUUACUGUUUGGAUGUGUUGUUUGUUAAACUUAGUUUUGUUUAAGGUUAAUUAGGUGGACCUAUUAAUUAGGAUUAAUUUGUUUGAAUUAAAUCCUAGAUGCCCUUAAGUUUAACUUUUAAUUUCAGAAUUAAAAGGGUAUUGAAAUAAGCCUAGGAACCCUAAGGCUGGAAUCUUCUAGAUUGUUCUAGGAGGUUCCACAAAUGCAAUUGAAAUCAGAAUUCAGGUCAAGACUGGUUAGGACUGAAAUAUCUAAUAAAUGAAAGGGUAAAACUGAAUUUUAUAUGGGGUAAAUAUCAUAAGGUUCUAGUAUUUUGGACAGCUGCCCCAUUCUUAGCAAAAAAUAUUGAAAUUAGGUGGGAAAAAAGGAUAUACAACUGUCAAAGAUGGUGUACUAUUCUGACUUUUCAGAAUUUAAGUUAGAAUAUUCCAUUUUGAUGCCAUCUAGUAUACCCUCUAUAAAGAAAAGUUACUCCUACACACAGGAGAUUUUUUCCAAACCUUAAAAAGCACCUCAAAAAGCUCAGCCUUACUAUUCCAUUGGUAGCUGAUCAAUUUUUCUGAUUUCGACUUAAAUCAAGAUAAUUUUUUCCUUUGAAAUUUCUGGGUUUCUUGAGUUGCAAGAUAGUUUGAGAUUGAAGUUGUGACACUGUUGUUCAUUGCUACUAGUUUCAUUGGUUUCAUGUUGGUCUUCUGAUGUUUCCUUAAAGAUUCAUGGCUUUAUUUUCUUAUUCUUUAUAACCAGGUAUAUCUUGAGCUUUGAAUGAUGAAUGAAAUGCAAGCCUGUUUUGAAGAGUAUACUACUGCUGUGGAGUUUAGUAUUCAUGUUUAAAUUUCAGCUUCUUUUGAUGUUUCUUCAAGUUAUUUGACUCUUGUUCUUUAGUUUCUUCCUCUCUAGCUUCUACCUAAAUACAUUAAAUCUGUUGUGUUGUUCCAUGAAUCAGCUAGGAUGUUUAGUGUCGAAAGUGUUGAAUAGUAUCUCUUUCAUGUGUUAAAUUUCAGCCUAAAUAGUUUAGCUUAAAAUGUUGAAUUUUGGUUUGCUUUUACAUGUGUUUUAAGUUAUUCAGCAGUCCAGUUCUCUCAGCUUUGUACAAAGUUUCUUGGAUCUAUUUUGAUAGUUAAUAGUUUAAUAGGGAUUCUUACGUAUGAAUGUCUGAAUUAGAUCAUUUUGUAUUCAUUUCAAGUUGGUAAACAACUCCAGCAGUUUGUCUGGUUGUAUGUUAAGAAAUGUUGACUAGUAUAUUAAGCAUAA
RNAcentral lists this long non-coding RNA (2120 nucleotides) under Nicotiana tabacum (common tobacco). RNAcentral describes it as "long non-coding RNA (NTAB_LNC013426)". Lineage: Eukaryota; Viridiplantae; Streptophyta; Magnoliopsida; Solanales; Solanaceae. The record is from RNAcentral.